RNAcentral lists this ribosomal RNA (450 nucleotides) under uncultured bacterium. Its description in RNAcentral is "bacterial SSU rRNA". It matches the Rfam family "Bacterial small subunit ribosomal RNA", at positions 355 to 825 of the family's 1533-position model. The record is from RNAcentral.
UUAGGAAUUUUGCGCAAUGGGCGAAAGCCUGACGCAGCAACACCGCGUGAGUGAUGAAGGCCUUCGGGUUGUAAAACUCUUUUAAUCGGGAAAAAAUAAAUGAUGGUACCGAUAGAAACAGCACCGGCUAACUCUGUGCCAGCAGCCGCGGUAAUACAGAGGGUGCAAGCGUUAUUCGGAUUUACUGGGCGUAAAGGGCGCGUAGGUGGUUUGGUAAGUCUGGUGUGAAAUCCCUCGACUCAAUCGAGGAAGUGCACCAGAUACUGCUAGACUAGAGUAUGGGAGAGGAGAGUGGAAUUCCAGGUGUAGAGGUGAAAUUCGUAGAUAUCUGGAGGAACAACAGAGGCGAAGGCGGCUCUCUGGACCAUUACUGACACUGAGGCGCGAAAGCGUGGGGAGCAAACAGGAUUAGAUACCCCUGUAGUCCCUGAGCGGGCUGGCAAGGCGCAU